Zea mays is the source of this 140-nucleotide RNA transcript. It is a transcript of the gene named DEAD-box ATP-dependent RNA helicase pseudogene, with no coding region annotated. The transcript is spliced from 2 exons. Lineage: Eukaryota; Viridiplantae; Streptophyta; Magnoliopsida; Poales; Poaceae. The record is from RefSeq and is marked validated.
GAUGGAAGUUGGUCACACAAACCUACGUAGAGUGACAUACCUUGUGUUGGAUGAGGCGGACCGGAUGCUAGAUAUGGGGUUUGAGCCCCAAAUUCGGAAAAUAGUAGCACAGAUCCGCCCAGACAGGCAAACCUUGUACU